Molecule: long non-coding RNA, 3138 nt
Filed under: Equus caballus (horse)
Lineage: Eukaryota; Metazoa; Chordata; Mammalia; Perissodactyla; Equidae
Description: lncRNA (ENSECAG00000053279.1)
Source: RNAcentral
GGGCGGUAAAAGGGUGGUGGGUGUGGAGGGGACCGGGACAGGCAUCUCCUGGGGAAAGUUUCGAGUGAGGCAGUGGGAGGAGAGGGUCGGGGCAGAGUUGCGAUGAACUGGGGAUUGAGCAGCCCCGGCUCGCCUCCGAGGUUCCCGAGCCGGGCGGGAGAUGCGGGGAGAGGGAGGGGGCGGGGAGGGGAGGGGAGGGAGAGAGGAAGAAGGGGUGAGAGGGAGAAACCUGCCGCCGCUCGCCGCCUCUUUGUCUGCUCCGGGACUUGGAACAAAAGGGGGAACUCUGAUGAACUCUCUCUCCUCCCCUCUCCCCCGGACGCCCGCCCGGGUAUCUCCCUCUCCCAACUUUGCCGCCGCGACUUUCUCCGCUGUCAGGCCACACAAAAGUGUCCUAGCGCCUCGCAGACUGCAACGAGGGGCAUGUCUCUUAAAAGUGCGACGAAGUGGAGAAGAAGGUAUAAUUAUUAUUAUCAGCAUCUAGAAAGCGUCGUGCGGUGCGUUGACCUUCGCCAUACUGCAUUGUUCUUACUGGAUCUUUCUAUCAGUGAACAUUAUGGAAGUACCAGUGCAACAUCAAGUCAUUCCUGGAUGAAAAGUUAUCAGACUUGUUCUUUUGGAGUUACUUAAAAGUUAAAAUGUCAGGAUUUUUGAUGAUGCCUUCUCUAAAUGGAUUACUACAAUUUGAUCACUGGGAAUUCUCCGCCUUAAAGAAGGUAAAAUCAUCUGUUGGAGUUAUUCCAUUAUCCUCAUCCUGUGGAGAUCUUGAUUUGGAAAUUCUUGACAAAAUCUACAGUGUCUGACUUACUAUCAAUGUUACCAACUGAAGGAUCUGCAUUGACUGCUCCAGCAGUGGCUAACUUGAUGUCCUCUGCAAAUUUAAAAAGCGUGCCACCUUUUCCAUCAUCGGGUCAUCCCUGAGGUCAUCACGGAACAUCCUUCUCAACUGUCCAUGAUCCGUGGGUAGCUGUUCUCUGUUGUCCAUUUCACCAGAUGUCCUCAAAACUAACAGACAGAAAAGGGAAAUGGUUAAUGGUGAGGAAAUUGAAGAUUUGUCCAAGAGCAGAAAGCUGAUGAGAGAGAGAAAGAAGAAAGAGACCAGCUUACAGCUCAAGUCCUCUUUCUAUGCUCUGGAAUCACCAUAAAUGCUACUCGCUUGGACCUCGUUUUGUUUCUUUCUGGAACUCUGUACUCUGUUUGCAAUGGUAUGGUUAGUUGUUAGGACCGCUUAUGUGUAUUUUUUUUUUAAUUUAGAGAAAUAUUGCUGCAAAGCUUUUCCAGGAUGUAUUUAAAAAGGAGGUAUCCUCUGGUUAUCUAGCAUUCAACUGAUUCUUUCAAUUUGGUUGGUUUAGUCAAAGUUUGAGUAGAAGAGUCUGUCUAGGUAAUGGUUUUUGAGGACACUUGGGCAAAACAAAAAAAAAUAGCCUAUGGAAAACUCAUUCUGAUCAUUUCAUACCUAGGAAAAAUGCAGAGAACAAUAAAAAUGAGUCAAUAUUUUAUAAAUUCAAGGCCAGUAUUCUAUGUCAAUGUCAAUGGUGUAUGAGUUCCAGAGGAUUUGUGUCACUAUUAAAUUACAAAUGAUUUGCUCUUAUUUGAGGUGUAGUAGAUUUAGCCGUAUAAUGGAUGGAAACAAACAGAAUACAAAGGAUAGAGAGCAAACGUAUUUUGUAAGGCAAUUGCAAGCCUCUUAUGAGCUUCAGUACAAAGGAAUAGAGACCAUCUCAUCUCUUUGCUAUUCAUUCAUCUUUAGCAUUAGUGAACUCAUGGCUUGUAUUCUUGACCUUGACCUAGAGCCCUGAAGCGCUUCCUGUCUUUGCCCUGCUUCAGCAGGUACAUUUCAGGAGAGUGAGCGUGUAUUACCUAUCUGUAACCCAGAUCUCAGGUAGAUGGGUGCUAUUAGAACUGGGAGAGAGCUGUCAUUUGAUGUUCAAGGAUUUCCCACUUUUGUAUAUGUUUGCAUACUGUAUGUUACCUUUCAUUUUAAGCUUUUUAUUCUCACUAUUCAAGCUAGUUGAAUUUGUUGAGCUAUUGUUCAUAAUUGUAGAAAUAGAUCUGUAGAGCUUUCUUCAAUGACCAUUUUCACUGCUAAUGUAUUUUGUAACCAGCCAGGUUUAUGGAAAACCCAGUUUUCAUGUUUUUCUGAGAGGUACAUGUCAAAGAAGGUUUUUCAUUCCUUGCUUAGCAAUUUUUAGUUUCCACCAGAGUUCAGUGGACCAUACAGUAUGUAUGGACCAAACAUCCCACCAGUUACACAACUUACUCUUACUAUUUAAGCAGCUUCUUUUAGGGGAUUGAGAGAGCAUGUUGGCCCUUUUAUAUAACUUAUUUUCGAAGUCAGAUCAAAUUCGCCAUUAGAGUGUUGUGAAUUCACAUCUUAAAUUCUUUUGGAAUUCUUUUUAUAUUCAUAUUUUUAGAGUCGUCACACCAAGCAGAAUUUUUCCAGGCCAUCUCUACUGAUCACCACUGAUGAAAGAGGCUCUGUUACCCAUCCUCCUUGCUCCGUCCUUUCUUCACUGCUUGGAAAGAAGCCAUGGGGAAUUUCCUUUGACUCCUCUCUGCCUGGUUUUUGAUGGACACACACACAAAGGUUUUUUUUUUUAAUUGCCUUUUUGAGAAGCAGGUGUCUAAUUCUAAUUCAGAGAAAAUGUAACAUAUAUUUUAAACCUGGUGGUGGAUGCACCAAUUAAGGAACCUAUAAAUCAAGUUGAACUUUGGAGCCGACAUGAUUGUUGGGGCUUGCCAUCUUCGUAAUGAAAGUCUUUGCCAUUAUAAUCUCACUUGGCAAAGAAUAAGUUGUCCCCUGGGAGAUGCCUUGCCAAAUCUUCAUCCAUAAUUCUGAACUGAUUCCAAGCCAGCCUGUUAUCUGAAAACGACUUCACAUCCCUUCUUUAUGGUCUAUGCCCUUAACCUCAAGGAUUCAGUUUGUGAACAUUGAAACAGCCAGAGACUACAGAAGAGUUCCUUUUUAAAAAUUAUGGUCAUUAAGGUGUAAUGCCAUAUGGACUCAAGGGGUGGCAAAGAUGCUGAGCAGCUUCUUGUUCGUUAAGACUGAAAUAUUUAUAUGAGCAGGAAUAACAGUAUAUUUUAGAAUCUGUGUGGUAUGAAAUUGAGCACCAAUGCAGUUAGAUAAUAUUGACA